This 428-nucleotide ribosomal RNA is filed under the name uncultured marine bacterium. RNAcentral's name for it is "bacterial SSU rRNA". It matches the Rfam family "Bacterial small subunit ribosomal RNA", at positions 360 to 804 of the family's 1533-position model. The record is from RNAcentral.
AAUUUUCCGCAAUGGGCGAAAGCCUGACGGAGCAAUACCGCGUGAGGGAAGAAUGCCUGUGGGUUGUAAACCUCUUUUCUCAGGGAAGAAUUUUGACGGUACCUGAUGAAUAAGCAUCGGCUAACUCCGUGCCAGCAGCCGCGGUAAUACGGGGGAUGCAAGCGUUAUCCGGAAUCACUGGGCGUAAAGCGUCUGCAGGUGGUUCAGAAAGUCUGCUGUUAAAUAUUAGGGCUUAACCCUGAACCAGCAGUGGAAACUACUAAACUUGAGUAUGGUAUGGGCAAAGGGAAUUCCCAGUGUAGCGGUGAAAUGCGUAGAUAUUGGGAAGAACACCAGUAGCGAAAGCGCUUUGCUUGGCCUUCACUGACACUCAGAGACGAAAGCUAAGGUAGCAAAUGGGAUUAGAUACCCCAGUAGUCUUAGCUGUA